Molecule: long non-coding RNA, 2508 nt
Organism: Lolium perenne
Lineage: Eukaryota; Viridiplantae; Streptophyta; Magnoliopsida; Poales; Poaceae
Source: RefSeq, a predicted model, not a curated record
CACUACUAAUCCGGCGUGGAGCCACUCUUCUCCCCAAUUCUCGCCUAUUUUCCCUCCACUAAAAAUGCGGCGUCCUCACGUUGUAGGUCAGUUGCAAAAUUUCCAUCCAUCCACUACUAAUCCGGCGUGGAGCCACUCUUCUCCCCAAUUCUCGCCACGGCCCAGAUCGGAGGCAUCCGAUCCACCCUCCCCAGAAACAGCCCCGCCCUCCUCAUCUACAGGAUCAUAGCCGCCGACCUCACUUGAGAAUCCGCCACGCCCCAGGCAAAUCGAACGCCGCUGCCUUCUCACCGCGGGAUCGGAGGCGCUUGCCUCAUCCAUGACGUCCUCCUCGAUGCCCCGAGUGUUCUCCGUCCACACCCAGGCGAACACAGCCGCCUGCACUCGUGAGAAUGCCGCCGCCCAUACCAGCUCGCACACGACCACCUGCACCCGUGAGAACGCCACCGCCCGCACCCGCGCGAAUGCUGCCACACUCAUCAAGCAGCACAUGGAUGAUAAAACGUGGCAGAUUUAUUGAAGUCAUUAGAGUUUUACUUUGCAUUUGUUUGUGCUGCUUUUCCUGCUUGCUAGAAUGAUAUUCAUAUACUCAUGUUGAGAAGAUUCUGAAAGAGGAAAACUGAACACUCCACUCUGCAGUAUGUGAGGAACAGUUAUCCCGUAAGCCACCCAAAGUGACUCAACAAAAUUUGGAAGCUCUUGUCAACAAAUGGUUGGAUGAAAGAAACCAGGUUUGUAUCAAAAUAGGCCACCGACAAUACCUAUGAAUAUUAAGUUGCACACAACUUUAUUUUAGUUUGUUACUACUUUUUUUACAUUCCCUACGAUAUUAAUCUUUAUGUUCAUUGGUAGUAAAAGGAGGUAGUAGAUAGAUCUUUUAUGGUUCAUAAAAUGUUCAUUUUUUUGUUGACCAGUCAAUUUAAUCUACUGCAACCUCUUUGCUUCAAGUAUUCUCCAUGUUUAAAGCUUGUGCAUGCUGACGACCUAGCAGGUAGCAACCUGCUUUUAGUCCAUACAUGUUUAAAGUUUGGGUUCAUAGGUCCAUUUUGUAGAUUACUAGUAAGUUUAGGCGCGGCGGCACGCCGCGCCCGUGUUGCUAAUUUUCUAGCAGAAGUAGAAGAAUUGCACAUUUGAGACGAAGGAUCUCAAGUGGUGUCAGUGCAGAAAAUAGAAAAUAGGACGUUUUGAAGAAGAAAGAUUGAAAGUUGAAGCCCUGAGGGUAAAAUGGUGUCGAACGUUAGAAGGGGUCAAUCCUGGGUGUAAUUUGGUGGCUUCUCCUUAUGUUGCUAGCUAAGAAGAUGCUUGUUUGGUUGCAUUUUUUGAGGGGGCCAGCCAGUUUGAAGAGAUUGCUGAGAAGUAUUAGUUUCUAAUGCAGUAGUGUUAGUAUAGGUGUAACUUAGAUAACCUUUGCUGUGACGUCGAGAAGCUUGUUGGAGUGAUGUGGUCUUCGAGGACCUCUUCUGUUUGAAGGGAUCUUCGGAUCGCCAUGGAGCUUCAUCGGCGGCGCACCGUCGACGAAAACGAAGAGCAUUUAAGGAUUUUGUUGUAAUUUUUUUAAGGUGUUUUGUACUGUUUAAUGUUUUCUUUUAAUCCCAGAUCUUUUUGCAAAAAAAAAAAUAAGAGCUGUUGUACUGUUUGCAGUAGGCUAGAUCCUCACGGAGUUUGUACGUGUAAUUAUCUUUUCUGAUCCGUACUGAACUUCAAAUGAAAUGCAUCUGGAUGUAGUAUUAAGUGCUGUCUGAAUUGAUCUACACGCUUUUCAGUCUAGAUAGUUGACGGAUACAAUUUUUAGUUGAACCUGGCAUAUCCAAUAGUUUUUUUUUCUUAAUUAUUAUGUUUUCAUGCAGUGCUCGGCUGUGUCUUUUUUUCCUGCUUGAAGCUACAGUAACUGAAAUAACAAAACGAAUAGAGAGGAGGCUCGUUCCUUCUAGUAAAGUGGUAAACUGACCAGUAGCUUAUAGAGAGAAAAAUAAGAGCAAUAGAUCUGCUGGAGCUCGAGAUCAAGCAUGGCGGAAGGAGAAUCGCUGGCGCCUACUUCCUAUUCUUUUCCCCACAAGAUGUCGAUCCGGCGUAGAGCUGGUGCCUGGGACUAUGGCGCCGGCGUGCGUAGGCUGUAGCUGGCGGCCACGCUUGGAGGUGGCUUGUUCACUACCAUCGACGACGGCGGGGGAGAAAGAAGCAGAGCCGGUGGGGAGGGUGGGGAUCCGAAGCGCUCCGCUGACAUCGCGGUGCCGGUGGUGGCGGGUGUCUUGGGGAGGCGCUCUGUUGUUGCAGCGCUCGUUCGAAUCGGAUCUCCAAGGAAUGGAUGGAGGGCCUGGUACGCUACUUCUUGCUGGUAUACUGUAAAGCGUUUUCGUGUUCCAUUCCUCUCUGUAGGUGAAAUGAAUUAUUGAAAGAAGAGAAGAUAAACUUUUUUGCUGUUGUGUCAAGAAUUUGACUGUUCUAUGUUGAUGUUUACUUGUACCAACCAAUUCCAUAUAUUUAGUUAAUGUACAGGUGAUGAAGGAA